Molecule: long non-coding RNA, 360 nt
Organism: Xenopus tropicalis (tropical clawed frog)
Lineage: Eukaryota; Metazoa; Chordata; Amphibia; Anura; Pipidae
Exons: 2
Source: RefSeq, a predicted model, not a curated record
GCGGCUGUGGAAGUCAAGCACCCUUUGAGAACAUGUAUGACAAUGUUUUGGUGGCCCUAUUGCUGAUCACUGGCAUAGCUUGCUACAGCUAAGUUUUUUUUUUAUCUACAAGUACCGGCAGGACCUUCUUCAUCAAGGAUAUGCCUCCAAACACCAAAGUAAAUAGCAAAUUCUCAAUAAAAAUUUAACAAUUUGAAAAACUCCAUUUGAAAAAAUCUGCUUACAUGUUGCCUAGCACAAAUCCAGUUGACUUCUUCUUGAAUUUAAAAGCUUUUAUAUGCUAAAGUUGUACAUUUGCGUUUUUUUUUUUAUUUCUUUGCAUUUAAUAAAUAUCAGUUAUUUGUGUUUUGGAAGCCAUAA